AGGGCUGUGGCUCAGCGGCAGAACAUCUUCUUUGUGCACAGAGGAUCCCAGGUUCAAUCCCUCGCAGUUUCU
Non-coding RNA from Podarcis lilfordi (Lilford's wall lizard), 72 nucleotides. The record is from the annotation of a GenBank genome assembly. NCBI's taxonomy places the organism in Eukaryota, Metazoa, Chordata, Lepidosauria, Squamata, Lacertidae.